RNAcentral lists this non-coding RNA (89 nucleotides) under Kosakonia arachidis. Lineage: Bacteria; Pseudomonadati; Pseudomonadota; Gammaproteobacteria; Enterobacterales; Enterobacteriaceae. The record is from RNAcentral.
CUCAAUGGUGGGCCGGGCGGAGGCGCCGCAAGGCGCACCGGUGUCCAGUAAGGCCGGUAAGACCAACUCCGUCCGGUUCCACCACCCGC